RNAcentral lists this ribosomal RNA (253 nucleotides) under uncultured bacterium. RNAcentral describes it as "partial 16S ribosomal RNA". It matches the Rfam family "Bacterial small subunit ribosomal RNA", at positions 524 to 776 of the family's 1533-position model. The record is from RNAcentral.
UACGAAGGGGGCUAGCGUUGCUCGGAAUUACUGGGCGUAGAGCGCACGUAGGCGGCUUCUUAAGUCGGUGGUGAAAUCCUGGAGCUCAACUCCAGAACUGCCUUCGAUACUGGGAAGCUCGAGUCCGGGAGAGGUGAGUGGAACUGCGAGUGUAGAGGUGAAAUUCGUAGAUAUUCGCAAGAACACCAGUGGCGAAGGCGGCUCACUGGCCCGGUACUGACGCUGAGGUGCGAAAGCGUGGGGAGCAAACAGG